UACGUAGGGGGCUAGCGUUGUCCUGAUUUAUUGGGCGUAAAGAGCGUGUAGGCGGCCAUGUAGGUCCGGUGUGAAAACUCGAGGCUUAACCUCGAGAUGUCAUCGGAAACCAUUUGGCUAGAGUCCGGAAGAGGAGAGUGGAAUUCCUGGUGUAGCGGUGAAAUGCGUAGAUAUCUGGAGGAACACCGGUGGCGAAGGCGGCAUCCUGGACCGGUAUUGACGCUGAGGCGCGAAAGCCAGGGGAGCAAACGGG
This 253-nucleotide ribosomal RNA is filed under the name uncultured bacterium. RNAcentral's name for it is "partial 16S ribosomal RNA". It matches the Rfam family "Bacterial small subunit ribosomal RNA", at positions 524 to 776 of the family's 1533-position model. The record is from RNAcentral.